Candoia aspera is the source of this 107-nucleotide small nuclear RNA. RefSeq annotates it as U4atac minor spliceosomal RNA. NCBI's taxonomy places the organism in Eukaryota, Metazoa, Chordata, Lepidosauria, Squamata, Candoiidae. The transcript has a single exon. The record is from RefSeq and is a predicted model, not a curated record.
AAUGUCCUUAUCAUGGGGUCGCAUUACUGUACAAUGAACACCUAAUGAGAACAGUACUGCUAACAUCUAUACAACAUAAAAGCAUCCUUGAGGCAUGUUUUGCACAA